This 1413-nucleotide ribosomal RNA is filed under the name uncultured organism. Its description in RNAcentral is "SSU rRNA". It matches the Rfam family "Bacterial small subunit ribosomal RNA". The record is from RNAcentral.
GACGAACGCUGGCGGCGCGCCUAACACAUGCAAGUCGAAUUAGCGAGAGAGAGCUUGCUUUCUCGAGCGAGUGGCGGACGGGUGAGUAACGCGUGAGGAACCUGCCUCAAAGAGGGGGACAACAGUUGGAAACGACUGCUAAUACCGCAUAAGCCCACGGGUCGGCAUCGACCAGAGGGAAAAGGAGCACUCCGCUUUGAGAUGGCCUCGCGUCCGAUUAGCUAGUUGGUGAGGUAAUGGCCCACCAAGGCAACGAUCGGUAGCCGGACUGAGAGGUUGAACGGCCACAUUGGGACUGAGACACGGCCCACACUCCUACCGGAGGCAGCAGUGGGGAAUAUUGCACAAUGGGGGAAACCCUGAUGCAGCGACGCCGCGUGGAGGAAGAAGGUCUUCGGAUUGUAAACUCCUGUUGUUGAGGAAGAUAAUGACGGUACUCAACAAGGAAGUGACGGCUAACUACGUGCCAGCAGCCGCGGUAAAACGUAGGUCACAAGCGUUGUCCGGAAUUACUGGGUGUAAAGGGAGCGCAGGCGGAAAGACAAGUUGGAAGUGAAAUCUGUGGGCUCAACCCAUAAACUGCUUUCAAAACUGUUUUUCUUGAGUAUUUGCAGAGGUAGGCGGAAUUCCCGGUGUAGCGGUGGAAUGCGUAUAUAUCGGGAGGAACACCAGUGGCGAAGGCGGCCUACUGGGGCACCAACUGACGCUGAGGUUUGAAAGUGUGGGUAGCAAUCAGGAUUUGAUACCCGGGUAGUCCACACUGUAAACGUUGAUUACUUGGUGUUGGAGGAUUGACCCCUUCAGUGCCGCAGUUAACACAUUAGGUAAUCCACCUGGGGAGUAGGACCGCAAGGUUGAAACCUCAAAGGAAUUGACGGGGGCCCGCACAAGCAGUGGAGUAUGUGGUUUAAUUUGACGCAACGCGAAGAUCCUUACCAAGUCUUGACAUCCUGCGACGAUGCUGGAAACAGUAUUUUCCUUCGGGACGCAGAGACAGGUGGUGCAUGGUUGUCGUCAGCUUGUGUCGUGAGAUGUUGGGUUAAGUCCCGCAACGAGCGCAACCCUUACUGUCAGUUACUACGCAAGAGGACUCUGGCAGGACUGCCGUUGACAAAUCGGAGGAAGGUGGGGAUGACGUCAAUUCAUCAUGCCCUUUAUGACUUGGGUUACACACGUACUACAAUGGCGUUAAGCAAAGAGAAGCAAGUCCGCGAGGUGGAGCAAAACUCAGAAACAACGUCCCAGUUCGGACUGCAGGCUGCAACUCGCCUGCACGAAGUCGGAAUUGUUAGUAAUCGUGGAUCAGCAAACCACGGUGAAUACGUUCCCGGGCCUUGUACACACCGCCCGUCACACCAUGAGAGCCGGGGGGACCCGAAGUCGAUAAUGUAACCGCAUGGAGGACGCCGCCGA